AGUUCACAUUAUUUGAAGUCAGAGGUUUAUUGAUGACUGCAUGACGCUGGCCUAACUGUAAAAAUAUACUUCAAACGUGCCAGUGACUAUAGUGCAGAAUUAGAGACGGAUUUCAGCCAAAAAGCACAAAAACUGAGAAUUAAAAUGGAAAUUUCUCUAAAUUUGAAAUAUUGCAGAGUAGGUUAAUUAGUAAAGUAAUGAAUGUUCCUAUUUCCUUAAAAAGAAGAGAACGUGUCGUAGCUCGGGGUACGCCACACACAAAGUGUGUUUCCUAAUCACAG
Non-coding RNA from Pelobates cultripes (western spadefoot toad), 281 nucleotides. The record is from the annotation of a GenBank genome assembly. NCBI's taxonomy places the organism in Eukaryota, Metazoa, Chordata, Amphibia, Anura, Pelobatidae.